AUACGGAGGGUGCAAGCGUUACUCGGAAUCACUGGGCGUAAAGCGCGCGCAGGCGGGCUGAUAAGUUGGAUGUGAAAGCCUACGGCUCAACCGUAGAACUGCAUCCAAAACUGUCAGUCUAGAGUGUGGGAGAGGAAGAUGGAAUUAGUUGUGUAGGGGUAAAAUCCGUAGAGAUAACUAGGAAUACCAAAAGCGAAGGCAAUCUUCUGGAACACUACUGACGCUGAGGCGCGAAGGCGUGGGGAGCAAACAGGAGUAGAAACCCCAGUAGUCC
RNAcentral lists this ribosomal RNA (274 nucleotides) under uncultured bacterium. RNAcentral describes it as "partial 16S ribosomal RNA". It matches the Rfam family "Bacterial small subunit ribosomal RNA", at positions 523 to 796 of the family's 1533-position model. The record is from RNAcentral.